Molecule: ribosomal RNA, 492 nt
Filed under: uncultured bacterium
Lineage: Bacteria
Description: partial 16S ribosomal RNA
Rfam family: Bacterial small subunit ribosomal RNA
Source: RNAcentral
GAUGAACGCUAGCUACAGGCUUAACACAUGCAAGUCGAGGGGAAACGACAUCGAAAGCUUGCUUUUGAUGGGCGUCGACCGGCGCACGGGUGAGUAACGCGUAUCCAACCUGCCCAUCACUUGGGAAUAACCUUGCGAAAGUAAGACUAAUACCCAAUGACAUCCCACGAAGACAUCUGAAUGGGAUUAAAGAUUUAUCGGUGAUGGAUGGGGAUGCGUCUGAUUAGCUUGUUGGCGGGGUAACGGCCCACCAAGGCAACGAUCAGUAGGGGUUCUGAGAGGAAGGUCCCCCACAUUGGAACUGAGACACGGUCCAAACUCCUACGGGAGGCAGCAGUGAGGAAUAUUGGUCAAUGGGCGAGAGCCUGAACCAGCCAAGUAGCGUGCAGGAUGACGGCCCUAUGGGUUGUAAACUGCCUUUAUAAGGGAAUAAAGUGGGUCUCGUGAGACUUUUUGCAUGUACCUUAUGAAUAAGGACCGGCUAAUUCCGUG